This is a long non-coding RNA of Zalophus californianus (California sea lion), 863 nucleotides long. RefSeq lists it as uncharacterized. The transcript is spliced from 3 exons. The record is from RefSeq and is a predicted model, not a curated record. NCBI's taxonomy places the organism in Eukaryota, Metazoa, Chordata, Mammalia, Carnivora, Otariidae.
GAGGAGGAAGGGAUGCGGCUCAAGUGAAUUCUGCUCGUCUUUCCUUCCCUACCUUCAGCGGCAAGCAUGGACAGAGCUUCAGUUUCCUUGUCAGCAAAAUGAGGAUCACAUGAGGAGACAAGCAAAAUGCUUUGUAGAUCAUAAAGCCAGUUCCAAGAUGAGAAAACUGCGGCACAAAAGAGACUGUGGUACUUGUCCAAGGUCACAUAGCUGGUAGAGGUGGAACCCGGACCGAUCAUAAAUCGUAAGCACCCAUGUCCUGAGCCACCACCUCUGCAACCAGUGGGGAAUCACUGUUUUAGCAGAACUCUAAUGGGAGCGUUGGGCCCAUUAGACCUUCUGAAAUCAGCACAAAUUUGACUACUCCAGAAAGCCUCCUAUCUGAUAUGAUUCCAGUCACAUAUUUAUUGCCCGAUGUUCCCUUGACAGUAAAAUAAUGAGUUUAGUCUCAAUAUGUUUGUUGUUAACGUGUUGACAAAUUGCUUUGUAAAAAUGAGUUUUAAGAGUUUCGUAUGUAUCUUUAAAAAAUUAGUUAACAUACAUGAAGAUAUGAAUCAUGUCUUUAAAAAAAAAUCCCUCCUCCCCACAAUCUUGUGCACAAAUUUAUAGGUGAAAUAAAACACAUGUAGGUAAACACACAUAGACACAGACACAUAUCACAGAUGUAGAUACACAUGAAGAGAACAUACCUAUAGGGGUAAACACACCCACAGCCUUCUACAUUAUCUGCUAACGUGAACAUGCAUGCAUUUGUACACACAAGCCUAAACAUGGAAGAGAGAAAGAGAGAAAGACACGAGCCCUAAAAUUCAUCCCUAAAGUCCACCUAUUAGUACUUUACCCAAUUUCCCAGCUAUGCACAU